AUGAGGCACCACACAUGACUAGUUGAAAUUAGAAUUUGAAACAACGGAAAGAGAGAAAUUUUAGGUUAGUAGCUAAAUCCCCAAGGAUACUAAUUAGAGAAAGAUGUUGGAAUUGCCUUAAUGAGUCACUGCCAACGCAAGUCCUAAGGAAGCAAAGACUGUGAGUAAGCAAAGGUAGCCAGCUGCUGGGAAGAGGACAAUAGAGGAAAAGGUCAGAGGGACUUUAAAAGACUGACUGUGGGCUCCCUGAGGGAAGGAGGGAUGGAGAGAGUAUCGGGUCCUAUAGAAUACCUUAAUUGUUUUUAUGACUUCUCUUUUCCAUAUCCAGUUCACAUGUACUCCUUUCUGUGCAUUAAAUUGAGUUUCUAUUGGCUUCUUUGUAACAAAAAGAACUGAACAGAAACACAUAUCUAUUGGACAAAGAGCAAUAAAAUGAUAUAAUAACUGUAUCUGAGGGUUUUUUCAUUUUAAAGAAUAAAACAAAACAAAAAUCAAACAAAAAAAACCAUCUAUCUGAUGUUGCUCCACUCCCAACAGCAUCACUAACCGGUAUGUACCCAGCUUCAGCUAAAUAUCCCUAAAACACCUCUUACUUUCCAAGGCAAAGUCUCCCACUGUUGAGUCGUGUUGACUGAUAAAAAGUUCCCUCUGGGGUAAAAAAAUGAAAUUAGUUUUACCUAUCCUGGGGUCACCUCCAAAUACAUAUGCCUGUAAUGUAUUUCAAUUAGAAUACAUUACACACUCCCUGUCACCUUCACUAGGAGAAAAUCAGCAAAGUCAACCAGCAUUUUUAGUUGUCACAACUAAAAGGUACUCCUAGCAUCUGGUAGGCGGAGGCCAGGGAUGCUGCUAAACAUCCUACAAUGGACAGGACAGCCUCUCACAACAAAGAAUUUCCAGCCCAAAAUGUCAACUUUGCCAAAGUAGAAAAGCCCUGUACUAAAGGAGACCUUCCAUAUAAUAGACGGAACCCCCUCUUAGAAGAGAGGCCUUAGAAAUGCUAUGGUUUUGGAGCUUUUCUAUUGAGCCCCUCAUAUUUUCCAUCAACAGCAAGGCCCAGGUAUUAAUUAUAUGGUCUUAUUCUGUGACCUGGUUUGUCAUUCCUGAAAUAGCUAAAAGUAAAACAGAUGUCAUUUCAAUAUCAAGAAGCAGUGGAACAGAAAGUGCCAAGGAGCAGGUGUAUCAGAUACUCAGAGGUGGUAAAGUCAUGGCUGUCCAUGCUUUGGAGCUAGGGCAUCUACAAUGCAAAGGAAGAUUUUAAAUGUGAAUUUUGUGUUCUGGUCUAUGAGUAGAUGAUUCACGACACUAGUUUGAAAAUGCCUGAGUAAUAACUUGACUUUGUUUCUGCACUGGACAUCUGUUGUUUUUGUUCACUGGCAUCACUUCCCUUUUCUUUUUUUCUUUCUUUUUUUUUUUCUUUUUUUUUUUUUUUUUUUUUUUUGAGACACAGUCUUGCUCUGUCCCCCAGGCUGGAGUGCAAUGGCAUGAUCUCGGCUCACUGCAACCUCCACCUCCCAGGUUCUAGCGAUUCUCCUGCCUCAGCCUCCUGAGUAGCUGGGAAUGCAUGCGCAUGCCACCACGUCUGGCCAAUUUUAUUUUAACUAGAGACAGGGUUUCAUCAUGUUGGCCAAGCUGGUCUCGAACUCCCGACCUCAGGUGAUUCCUCUGCCUCAGCCUCCCAAAGUGCUGGGAUUACAGGCAUGAGCCACCAUUCCCGGCUCCCUUCCCUUUUCUUAUGGGAACAGCAUUGAAUUUUCCUUUGAGAAAAUACCUCUCCCUAUAGGGGUAGUUCCUACAAAGUUUCGAUGGAAUUAUGUCAGAGGCUCUUAUACUUUCACACCAUGGCUUGGCAAGUAUCUCAAUCUAGGCCAAUCAGUCUUUGUUUCCUUAGGAUAUACAUCUUGAGUGAAGUAAUGCGUGAAUGGGAAACAUUUAAAGCUGAUUCAUGUGAAUUGGGAUAGUUCCUGAACAGAAUGCCUACGGUUCUUUCUAU
Molecule: long non-coding RNA, 1993 nt
Filed under: Homo sapiens (human)
Lineage: Eukaryota; Metazoa; Chordata; Mammalia; Primates; Hominidae
Description: HSALNT0154497
Source: RNAcentral